GAUGAACGCUGGCGGCGUGCUUAACACAUGCAAGUCGAACGAAGACAUCUGAGUGCUUGCACUUGGAUGGACUGAGUGGCGGACGGGUGAGUAACGCGUGGGUAACCUGCCUUAUACAGGGGGAUAACAGUUGGAAACGACUGCUAAUACCGCAUAAGCGCACGGUAUCGCAUGAUACAGUGUGAAAAACUCCGGUGGUAUAAGAUGGACCCGCGUCUGAUUAGCUUGUUGGUGAGGUAACGGCCCACCAAGGCGACGAUCAGUAGCCGGCCUGAGAGGGUGAACGGCCACAUUGGGACUGAGACACGGCCCAAACUCCUACGGGAGGCAGCAGUGGGGAAUAUUGCACAAUGGGGGAAACCCUGAUGCAGCGACGCCGCGUGAGUGAUGAAGUAUUUCGGUAUGUAAAACUCUAUCAGCAGGGAAGAUAAAUGACGGUACCUGACUAAGAAGCACCGGCUAAAUACGUGCCAGCAGCCGACGG
This 484-nucleotide ribosomal RNA is filed under the name uncultured bacterium. RNAcentral describes it as "bacterial SSU rRNA". It matches the Rfam family "Bacterial small subunit ribosomal RNA", at positions 28 to 520 of the family's 1533-position model. The record is from RNAcentral.